UCCAGUGUUUGCACUGGCCAAAGAGCAGAGGAGGAUACCUACCUGGGAUUGAAUCAGUGCAGCGUUCUGUAUGAUAUCUUCAACCUGAAGAAUUUGGAAGUGCUACUUGUGUUAAUAUUAGGAUGGGGGUCCUCGCCACUCUGUGUCACAAUAGUGAAUUGGCUUGAGAUUCGGCACCUAUUUGAAGUAGAAUCAGAUCGUCUGCAGCAUCCUUUUGUUGCUGUUUCAAGGCCCAUCUUUCCUUUUUACUUUUCUACCUCAAGUUAUCGCCUCUUUGAAGUCCGUGGACAUUGACUCGACAGUCAGGAAAUGAGACCCUUAAGGAGAGCCACUGUAUUUUUUUUUUUUGAAAAUGAAAGGUUAUAGUGCCACCAGUUCAGAAGGAAUUUAAUUGAAUUCUCUGCAGAUAGAUAAGGUGGAAUAAGUUUUAUUUGGUGACAUUUUCAUAGACUAACUUCUGGAGACUUGUAAUUUAAGCACAACAAAGAAGAAAACCGGCUGGAGGGGCACCACAGCUCUCGGAGAAUGCUCCAGGUCCCAAAUAGAGCCGAUAUCACCGGGAGGUCCCAGAUGGGGUAGGUGCUGCAUCCUGCCUUCUCCAGAUGGAACCCUGAUGACCACGAGCCUGCAAGCGGGCACCAGGACAUUCUUUCCAAACUGCGUGGCUGCUUAUGUGGCCGCGCGACACCUCCUUAUAUACAAAGUGAUCAAUGGAAAGUAAAUCAUCCAGCGUUUCUCCCUGAAAAUCAGACUUAACUCUUUUGCAAACCACAGCACCCAAAAGG
Long non-coding RNA from Sorex fumeus (smoky shrew), 785 nucleotides. RefSeq lists it as uncharacterized. The record is from RefSeq and is a predicted model, not a curated record. Lineage: Eukaryota; Metazoa; Chordata; Mammalia; Eulipotyphla; Soricidae. The transcript has 3 exons.